GACAGAGGGUGCAAACGUUGUUCGGAAUUACUGGGCGUAAAGCGUGUGUAGGCGGUCUGCUAAGUCGGAUGUGAAAGCCCCGGGCUCAACCCGGGAAGUGCACUCGAAACUGGAAGGCUAGAGUAUCGGAGAGGUUGGUGGAAUUCUCGGUGUAGAGGUGAAAUUCGUAGAUAUCGAGAGGAACACCGGUGGCGAAGGCGGCCAACUGGACGAAUACUGACGCUGAGACUCGAAAGCGUGGGGAGCAAACAGG
This 253-nucleotide ribosomal RNA is filed under the name uncultured bacterium. Its description in RNAcentral is "partial 16S ribosomal RNA". It matches the Rfam family "Bacterial small subunit ribosomal RNA", at positions 524 to 776 of the family's 1533-position model. The record is from RNAcentral.